AGGACCUUUAAGAACUCCCGUUCGAUAUGAACACAAAUUUCAGACUCCUUGUGAUUUAAUGCGAGUAAUGCCCUUCUGCAAUAAUCGUCUCCUUCUUUAGCCACCACCAGCAUAGCACCUUGUGCGGGGGCAGGUACCAUCCAGUCCAAAUCUAUAAAAUUUCCGGGUUUAAGGUCAAUUCUUUCCAGGCCGGCAGCGGCAAAGAUCGCUCCGUUCCAAUCACUGGCUUCCAGCUUUUUCAU
RNAcentral lists this unclassified non-coding RNA (242 nucleotides) under uncultured bacterium. RNAcentral's name for it is "contains 16S-23S intergenic spacer region". The record is from RNAcentral.